This 345-nucleotide ribosomal RNA is filed under the name uncultured Lachnospiraceae bacterium. RNAcentral's name for it is "partial 16S ribosomal RNA". The record is from RNAcentral. Lineage: Bacteria; Bacillati; Bacillota; Clostridia; Lachnospirales; Lachnospiraceae.
GGAGUUUGGUCCGUGUCUCAGUCCCAAUGUGGCCGUCCGCCCUCUCAGGCCGGCUACCGAUCGUCGCUUUGGUGGGCCGUUACCCCGCCAUCUUGCUAAUCGGACGCGGACCCAUCCCAUACCGAUAUUUCUUUUCACACAAAGAGAUGUCUCUCCGUGCGCUCAUGCGGUAUUAUCAGUCGUUUCCAACUGCUAUCCCCCUGUAUGGGGCAGGUUACCCACGCGUUACUCACCCGUCCGCCACUAAGUCAUCCCAAUUGAUUCUGCUUUGUGCAAGCACUCCACUUCAUCGGGCGGGACGCUUCGUUCGACUUGCAUGUGUUAAGCACGCCGCCAGCGUUCAUC